RNAcentral lists this ribosomal RNA (606 nucleotides) under Sarocladium glaucum. Its description in RNAcentral is "eukaryotic LSU rRNA". The stretch from base 220 to 373 matches the Rfam family "5.8S ribosomal RNA". Lineage: Eukaryota; Fungi; Ascomycota; Sordariomycetes; Hypocreales; Sarocladiaceae. The record is from RNAcentral.
GGAAGUAAAAGUCGUAACAAGGUCUCCGUUGGUGAACCAGCGGAGGGAUCAUUACCAGAGUGCCUUCAGGCUCUCCAACCCACUGUGAACAUACCUACGUUCCCCCGGCGGGCUCAGCGCGAGGCGGCUCCGGCCGCCCCGCGUCCGCCGAGGGCAUCUCAAACCCGAAUUUAUUCGUGUCUUCUGAGGGGCGAAAGCCCGUAAAACAAAAUGAAUCAAAACUUUCAACAACGGAUCUCUUGGCUCUGGCAUCGAUGAAGAACGCAGCGAAAUGCGAUAAGUAAUGUGAAUUGCAGAAUUCAGUGAAUCAUCGAAUCUUUGAACGCACAUUGCGCCCGCCAGUACUCUGGCGGGCAUGCCUGUCCGAGCGUCAUUUCAACCCUCGGGACCCCCCUCCGGGGCGGGACCCGGCGUUGGGGAUCGGAGGCCGCACCGGCCCCCGUCCCCCAAAUACAGUGGCGGUCGCGCCGCAGCCUCCCCUGCGUAGUAGCACACCUCGCACCGGAGAGCGGCUCGGCCACGCCGUGAAACCCCCCACUAUACCAAGGUUGACCUCGGAUCAGGUAGGAAUACCCGCUGAACUUAAGCAUAUCAAUAAGCGGAGGA